CCUACGGGGGGCAGCAGUAGGGAAUCUUCCACAAUGGGCGAAAGCCUGAUGGAGCAACGCCGCGUGGGUGAAGAAGGUCUUCGGAUCGUAAAACCCUGUUGUUAGGGAAGAAAGUGCGUGAGAGUAACUGUUCACGUUUCGACGGCAUCUAACCAGAAAGCCACGGCUAACUACGUGCCAGCAGCCGCGGUAGUACGUAGGUGGCAAGCGUUAUCCGGAUUUAUUGGGCGUAAAGGGAACGCAGGCGGUCUUGUAAGUCUGAUGUGAAAGCCUUGGGCUUAACCGGAGUAGUGCUUUGGAAACUGGGAGACUGGAGUGCAGAAGAGGAGAGCGGAACUCCAAGUGUAGCGGUGAAAUGCGUAGAUAUAUGGAAGAACACCAGUGGCGAAAGCGGCUCUCUGGUCUGUAACUGACGCUGAGGUUCGAAAGCGUGGGUAGCAAACAGGAUUAGAUACCCUUGUAGUC
Molecule: ribosomal RNA, 465 nt
Filed under: uncultured bacterium
Lineage: Bacteria
Description: partial 16S ribosomal RNA
Rfam family: Bacterial small subunit ribosomal RNA
Source: RNAcentral